AUACUUACUGGCAAGGGAGAUACCAUGAUCAUGAAGGUGGUUUUCCCAGCAUGAGGCUCAUCCAUUGCACUCCAGAUGUGCUGACCCCUGGAAUUUCCCUAAAUGUGGGAAAUUCAACUGCAUAAUUUGUGGUAGUGGGGGACUGUGUUUGCGCUUUCCCCUG
Small nuclear RNA from Nomascus leucogenys (northern white-cheeked gibbon), 163 nucleotides. Its record names the gene U1. It matches the Rfam family "U1 spliceosomal RNA". Rfam says of the family: U1 is a small nuclear RNA (snRNA) component of the spliceosome (involved in pre-mRNA splicing). Its 5' end forms complementary base pairs with the 5' splice junction, thus defining the 5' donor site of an intron. The record is from Ensembl. Lineage: Eukaryota; Metazoa; Chordata; Mammalia; Primates; Hylobatidae.